Molecule: long non-coding RNA, 365 nt
Filed under: Setaria viridis
Lineage: Eukaryota; Viridiplantae; Streptophyta; Magnoliopsida; Poales; Poaceae
Description: long non-coding RNA (SVIR_LNC004044)
Source: RNAcentral
UUGGGAAUAGUCCCACCUUAGUUGUGGAAGAUGGAGUAGCGCAACUUAUAAGUGUGAGGGAGUGCUUACCCAUUAGACUAGUCUUCUGGGGAGAGAUGUGCCCCAAGUUUUUGUUUGUUGCUGUUCAUGCUAGGCCAGCAAUGUGAUGCGGCCAAUGAUGGGGAAACCGGAUGCUUAGGAAUAGAGGUCCGAAAGUGCGUAUCACGCAGGCGCGUUGCGGCCAACAUUUUGGUACGUAAUGGUGUGGAUUUUCUAUGUGAACUUUUUGUCCCAUCGUUAUUUGUUGCAUGGAUUUGGAUCAUGUUGUGAACUUUUUUUUCCUUUGCAUUUCAUUACAUUAGGGAUUUUUGGUUGUUGCGAGUAUA